AGAACAAAUAUAUGCCCGUGAUUAAAUUAGCUAUUUGUGAAAAUAUAUAAAAAUAAAAUAUGCAGGAUUAUAGUAGUAUCCAAUGAAAUCGCUUUUAGGAGUGACGUCAAUACGUCAAUUCGGCGAUCGCGGCAGUUUUGCAACGCAGAAUGUUCUAGAUCUUUUUUCCGUGAACUUGAGAUGGGAGCACAUGUCCAUCGCUGCUCCUGGAGAUUCAGUGCUUCAGAAGUGAAUAUGAAAAGACGAUAGAGAGAAAAAGAGCACGUUGACAGUGUAUCUUCAUUUACCAUCUGGAUUUCCCUACAUCAUAUGUACAUUUGAACGAGUUUCCUGGCUGCUGAUUGUGGUCCACUGUGGAUGCAAAUUGAGUGAAGUGUGAACCCUUUCUGGACUGGCGUUGGACUGGCGAGCCGCCUGCUAACCGGACCCUUUGAGCAUUCCUGUUUUAAAAGAACAUAGAAAUUGAACGUAUUCAA
Puntigrus tetrazona (Sumatra barb) is the source of this 476-nucleotide long non-coding RNA. RefSeq lists it as uncharacterized. The transcript has 3 exons. The record is from RefSeq and is a predicted model, not a curated record. Lineage: Eukaryota; Metazoa; Chordata; Actinopteri; Cypriniformes; Cyprinidae.